This 221-nucleotide ribosomal RNA is filed under the name uncultured bacterium. RNAcentral describes it as "partial 16S ribosomal RNA". It matches the Rfam family "Bacterial small subunit ribosomal RNA", at positions 28 to 238 of the family's 1533-position model. The record is from RNAcentral.
GAUGAACGCUGGCGGCGUGCCUAAUACAUGCAAGUCGAACGCACAGCGAAAGGUGCUUGCACCUUUCAAGUGAGUGGCGAACGGGUGAGUAACGCGUGGACAACCUGCCUCAAGGCUGGGGAUAACAUUUGGAAACAGAUACUAAUACCGAAUAAAACUCAGUGUCGCAUGACACAAAGUUAAAAGGCGCUUUGGCGUCACCUAGAGAUGGAUCCGCGGUG